RNAcentral lists this transfer RNA (72 nucleotides) under Salmo salar (Atlantic salmon). It matches the Rfam family "tRNA". Rfam says of the family: Transfer RNA (tRNA) molecules are approximately 80 nucleotides in length. The record is from Rfam by way of RNAcentral. Lineage: Eukaryota; Metazoa; Chordata; Actinopteri; Salmoniformes; Salmonidae.
UCACGUGUGGCUCAGUUGGUAGAGCAUGGUGUUUGCAAUGCCAGGGUUGUGGGUUCGAUUCCCACGGGUGAC